RNAcentral lists this long non-coding RNA (1530 nucleotides) under Sus scrofa (pig). Its description in RNAcentral is "lncRNA (ENSSSCG00070019002.1)". The record is from RNAcentral. Lineage: Eukaryota; Metazoa; Chordata; Mammalia; Artiodactyla; Suidae.
AUGAUGCGGAAUCCCCUCAGCGCCCGUAAGACCCCCCCGGAGCCGUUCCCGUGCCCAGCAGCAGGCACGAACCCCCUGACGAGACGUGGUCGCUACCCGGCGGUUCCCGCCCGCACCAAGCCCCUCCCAGUCCCGACCACACACCAACCGGGACACCCAAGUCGGCCGGGAGACACGGCUCAAAUCCCCACAGGGCGUGGGACAUUCCCCCAAACAGCCGGGACUCCUGAACGGGCCAGGCCUUCCAGGGCCUCAAGCCCCGGGCCUUCCUGGCAAGCACGCGGCCGCCGGGCCUCAUCAAAGCCCUCCGUCACCGCGGGGCCAGGACACCGCCACCGCUGCCCAAGCCCAGGCCUCCCGUCUCCGCUCGCCAUCCAGCCGCCCGCCGCAGGACCCGGACACCCGCCCCGAGCAGCCUCCCAGGCACUGCCAGCUGAGAGACGUCCCUGGCCGCCGACCUCCCCGCUCUGCCCAGGCCCCCGCGCGGCGACCUGGGCGAAGCGCUCCACGCGGCGCGGGUGGCUCGCUCUGCCGGGCAGACCACCCCCUCCAGGGCGUCCAAGGGCUCGGCAUCGCACCCUCCAGGGAGAGGGAGACCGUGCACCGGGAAGGACUCCGACCCGUGGCCUCCCAAAGGACCCCCCCAAGGUGCGGUCCGCGCCGCGGCCCAGGGACCUGGCGGCUGCCUUCCCCAGACCCCCACGGGGAGCCACGCCUCCCAGAGGAGAGGCCACAUGCAAGACCGUCCCCGCCCCUGCCCGCGCGGUCCUUGCCUACCCGGGCCUCCCACAGCCGCUGACGCCAUCCCACUUGAGGCCAGGGCACCUCCUCCAGAGCCCCUCGCCCAUCCAGACGUGGGCCUGUCCACCCACGUCCCCGGCAGGCUCCCUCUGCCCGCCUGUCGCUCACCACUUCAGCUGCCCCCUUCUCGCCACCCAGCCCCAGCCUCCGCCCCAACAUCCCUGGACGUCCCAGGGGAGCGCCCUCAGGGGUUCCCAGGCUGCCCCCCUCCCAUGGGGGACGGCCCUGAUCCAAGGGCCCCCGCUACCACAGACCCCCUGCAGCAGGUGGCCCUCAGGGGUCCCCAGAGCAGAAAGAGAACACUACCCUGCCGGGAUCCCGUCUCCCCACAGCAUCCUGAGAAGGGCGCCCGGCCUGGGCCAGGACGCCCCCUGGGGCCCUAGGGCCGCACACUUGCCUCGCGGGCCGGGCCCAAAUUUCGGCCCCCGCGACGGCUUGCGAAACCCCCCAAGGCCGGCGGGAGGCCGCCCGGGAUCUCCAGCACGCUCGGGCACGCGGCCUCGCCCCCGAGGCCAGCGCCGGGCGACGGGCCCCAUGCUUCCUGGGCCCGGCAGGCGGCCGCCUUCCCCAGACCUCACCCGAGUGGCUGCUGACACACAGAGGCCCCAAGGCCAAGGGCCCAUCUACCCCCGAGCCCCCGGUGGCCGCCACGUGCCGGACCUCAGUUUCGAUGAGGAGACGGUAGUGAGUUCUCACUCAUUUUGUUCAGAUUUCCAAGGAAUGCUUUAG